This 372-nucleotide ribosomal RNA is filed under the name uncultured organism. Its description in RNAcentral is "bacterial SSU rRNA". It matches the Rfam family "Bacterial small subunit ribosomal RNA", at positions 526 to 896 of the family's 1533-position model. The record is from RNAcentral.
CGGAGGGUGCGAGCGUUGUUCGGAUUUACUGGGCGUAAAGCGCGCGCAGGUGGGUGAACAAGUCGGAAGUGAAAUCCCAGGGCUCAACCCUGGGGCUGCUCCCGAAACUGUUCGCCUAGGGACUGGUAGAGGCUGGUAGAAUUCCCGGUGUAGCGGUGGAAUGCGUAGAGAUCGGGAAGAAUACCUGUGGCGAAGGCGGCCAGCUGGGCCAGAUCCGACACUGAGGCGCGAAAGCGUGGGGAGCAAACAGGAUUAGAUACCCUGGUAGUCCACGCCGUAAACGAUGGGCACUAGGCGCUGGUGGGAGCGACCCCUUCAGUGCCGUAGCUAACGCGAUAAGUGCCCCGCCUGGGGAGUACGGCCGCAAGGCUG